RNAcentral lists this non-coding RNA (244 nucleotides) under Rhizobium sp. Lineage: Bacteria; Pseudomonadati; Pseudomonadota; Alphaproteobacteria; Hyphomicrobiales; Rhizobiaceae. The record is from RNAcentral.
GACUAAGUCAAUCGUGACGGUUCCCCGAUGGAUGACUUCGAGGGGAUUAAUAGGGAACACGGUGCGGAAGACCCAACAGGGACCAAGACCGUGGCUGCCCCCGCAACUGUAAGCGGAUUGCCGAUCGCCGAUGUGACGCCUUUGAAAGCGUCGUGCCACUGCCGGACCUUAAGAGGUCAGGCGGGAAGGCAGCGAGAGACAGAUAUCCGCGAGCCAGGAGACCUGCCGUCGAAAGCAAUAUCCA